AUUAUUAGAAAAAGAAUGCACACCCAAGGUGGUAAUGUGGUCACGACGCGAAGCGGACAAUGUGUGUAUGGGGGCAGUGUGUGUGUGUGGGCAGUGUAUGUGUGUGUAUGGGGGGCAGUGUAUGUGUGUGUGGGGCAAUCUGUGUAUGGGGGGGCAGUGUGUGUAUGUGUAGGGUGUGUGUAUGGGGGGGCAGUGUAUGUGUAGGGUUUGUGAAUGUGAGGAGGGUAGGGAGGCAAUUUUAUAUAAGGAAUAAUUGAC
Molecule: non-coding RNA, 258 nt
Organism: Pelobates cultripes (western spadefoot toad)
Lineage: Eukaryota; Metazoa; Chordata; Amphibia; Anura; Pelobatidae
Source: the annotation of a GenBank genome assembly